This 319-nucleotide ribosomal RNA is filed under the name uncultured eukaryote. RNAcentral's name for it is "partial 18S ribosomal RNA". It matches the Rfam family "Eukaryotic small subunit ribosomal RNA", at positions 1470 to 1796 of the family's 1831-position model. The record is from RNAcentral.
CCCUUAGAUGUUCUGGGCAGCACGCGCGCUACAAAGGUCUUCGCAAACGGAUGCAUUCUCGAAGGAGAAUGCCAAUCUUGGAAUCUAUGCCUUGGUCGGGACAGUUGCUUGCAAUUUUUCGACUCGAACCAGGAAUUCCUUGUAAUCGUGAUUCAUCACAUCACGAUGAAUACGUCCCUGCCCUUUGUACACACCGCCCGUCGCUCCUACCGAUCGAAGAGUUAGGUGAAUUGUUUUGAUCGAUAAGAUUUGACUAUGGUCAACUCUCGUUGUGAAAUUCUGUGAAUCUGACUGUUUAGAGGAAGGAAAAGUCGUAACA